Molecule: ribosomal RNA, 327 nt
Filed under: Triticum aestivum (bread wheat)
Lineage: Eukaryota; Viridiplantae; Streptophyta; Magnoliopsida; Poales; Poaceae
Description: partial small subunit ribosomal RNA
Source: RNAcentral
AUGCUAUGGAUGUGGGAGCAUCAACUCCGUUCCUUUGGGCUUUUGAGGAGCGGGAGAAAUUGUUGGAAUUCUAUGAAAGAGUCCCGGGAGCCAGGAUGCAUGCCAGUCAUACGACCUGGUGGAGUGGCACAAGAUCUGCCUCUUGGCUUAUGUCGAGAUAUUGAUUCCUCCACACAACAAUUUGCUUCUCGUAUCGACGAAUUAGAAGAGAUGUCAACCGGCAACCGUAUCUGGAAACAACGAUUAGUGGAUAUUGGUACUGUCACUGCACAACAAGCAAAGGAUUGGGGAUUCAGUGGUGUAAUGUUAAGAGGUCGUGCGACAUGA